UGGGGAAUCUUGCGCAAUGCGCGACAGCGUGACGCAGCAACGCCGCGUGGGGGAAGACGGCCUUCGGGUUGUAAACCUCUUUCAGUUGGGACGAAGUGCGGCCGGUGAACAGCCGGUCCGCAUGACGGUACCUUCAGAAGAAGCCCCGGCUAACUACGUGCCAGCAGCCGCGGUAAUACGUAGGGGGCAAGCGUUGUCCGGAAUCAUUGGGCGUAAAGAGCGUGUAGGCGGUCCGGUAAGUCCGCUGUAAAAGUCCAGGGCUCAACCCUGGAAUGCCGGUGGAUACUGUCGGGCUAGAGUCCGGAAGAGGCGAGUGGAAUUCCUGGUGUAGCGGUGAAAUGCGCAGAUAUCAGGAGGAACACCGAUGGCGAAGGCAGCUCGCUGGGACGGUACUGACGCUGAGACGCGAAAGCGUGGGGAGCAAACAGG
This 429-nucleotide ribosomal RNA is filed under the name uncultured bacterium. RNAcentral's name for it is "bacterial SSU rRNA". It matches the Rfam family "Bacterial small subunit ribosomal RNA", at positions 355 to 776 of the family's 1533-position model. The record is from RNAcentral.